This 195-nucleotide unclassified non-coding RNA is filed under the name uncultured fungus. RNAcentral's name for it is "sequence contains ITS1". Lineage: Eukaryota; Fungi. The record is from RNAcentral.
GUAUAUAUUUUAUAGGCACAACAUUCUAUUGACAUACAUUGGGGUAAAUGAAGCAACAUAGACCUGAAAGGUCUACAAAAGGUGCACAGGUGGAGAUAUAAAGAUGACAAGGCGUGCACAUGCUCCCUAGAGAACCAGCAACAACCCAUCAGGUUUAUUUCAAUAAUGAUCCUUCCGCAGGUUCACCUACGGAAA